GUGGGGAAUAUUGGACAAUGGGCGCAAGCCUGAUCCAGCCAUGCCGCGUGAGUGAUGAAGGCCCUAGGGUUGUAAAGCUCUUUCACCGGUGAAGAUAAUGACGGUAACCGGAGAAGAAGCCCCGGCUAACUUCGUGCCAGCAGCCGCGGUAAUACGAAGGGGGCUAGCGUUGUUCGGAAUUACUGGGCGUAAAGCGCACGUAGGCGGACAUUUAAGUCAGGGGUGAAAUCCCAGAGCUCAACUCUGGAACUGCCUUUGAUACUGGGGGUCUUGAGUAUGGAAGAGGUAAGUGGAAGUCCGAGUGUAGAGGUGAAAUUCGUAGAUAUUCGGAGGAACACCAGUGGCGAAGGCGGCUUACUGGUCCAUUACUGACGCUGAGGUGCGAAAGCGUGGGGAGCAAACAGGAUUAGAAACCCUGGUAGUCC
Molecule: ribosomal RNA, 425 nt
Filed under: uncultured bacterium
Lineage: Bacteria
Description: partial 16S ribosomal RNA
Rfam family: Bacterial small subunit ribosomal RNA
Source: RNAcentral